CAGCCGCCACGGGAACACGAAGGGGGCUAGCGUUGCUCGGAAUGACUGGGCGUAAAGGGCGCGUAGGCGGCGAUCAAAGUCAGGCGUGAAAUUCCUGGGCUCAACCUGGGGACUGCGCUUGAUACUUGGUUGCUUGAGUGGGGAAGAGGGUCGUGGAAUUCCCAGUGUAGAGGUGAAAUUCGUAGAUAUUGGGAAGAACACCGGUGGCGAAGGCGGCGACCUGGUCCUUGACUGACGCUGAGGCGCGAAAGCGUGGGGAGCAAACAGGAUUAGAUACCCCCGUAGUCCCUGUCUCUUAUAA
This 301-nucleotide ribosomal RNA is filed under the name uncultured bacterium. RNAcentral describes it as "partial 16S ribosomal RNA". It matches the Rfam family "Bacterial small subunit ribosomal RNA", at positions 509 to 809 of the family's 1533-position model. The record is from RNAcentral.